AUGAGCUUUGAAUGGGAGGACCUGUUUCCUUUGGUUACAGUUCGUAAAUUGGUUAGGGAUGUCUCCGACCACAAUCCACUCCUCUUGUCCUCGGGAGAGGAAAGACAAAAUAAAUCCCAUCAGCACGAGGUCAGGUUUGAACUUAGUUGGUUGCGUGACGAAAACUUUUAUCCCACUGCCAAGAGGAUAUGGGAGCAACCAGUCCGAGCUGACGAUCCUAUUGAUAUUCUUAAUAUCAAACUGAAACGGCUCAAAAAGUACUUUAAAGGGUGGGGCUCGAAUAUAUUUGGACAUGCCAAAAAAAGAAAAAAAGAAAUCAAGCUGGAGUUGGAAGAGAUUGAGUGUAAAGAAGAGGAAGAACCUCUCGAACCUGAGUUAUAUGAGAGGAAAACAACAUUACAAAUAGAACUCUGCGAGAUCCUCUUUAAGAAAGAGUUGUAUUGGUUACAACAAUCGAAUGAGCGUUGGCUCUUAAAGGGAGAUCGUAACACAGCCUUUUAUCAUAGAGUGGUGAAUGGUAAAAAGAGGAAAAAUAUGAUCCAGUCCCUUACAAAAUGUGGGCUGAUAAUGAGAAGCUAA
RNAcentral lists this ribosomal RNA (579 nucleotides) under Triticum aestivum (bread wheat). Its description in RNAcentral is "partial small subunit ribosomal RNA". The record is from RNAcentral. Lineage: Eukaryota; Viridiplantae; Streptophyta; Magnoliopsida; Poales; Poaceae.